Hordeum vulgare subsp. vulgare (domesticated barley) is the source of this 136-nucleotide non-coding RNA. The record is from Rfam. Lineage: Eukaryota; Viridiplantae; Streptophyta; Magnoliopsida; Poales; Poaceae.
CAUCUAUUUCCUCCGUUCUAAAAUUCUUGUCACAGAUUUAUCCAGAUAUGAAUGUAUCUAGUCACGUUUUAGUAUUUCGAUACAUCCAUUUCUCGACAAACAUAAGACAAGAAUUUUAGAAUGGAGAGAGUAUGUG